RNAcentral lists this ribosomal RNA (540 nucleotides) under uncultured bacterium. Its description in RNAcentral is "bacterial SSU rRNA". It matches the Rfam family "Bacterial small subunit ribosomal RNA", at positions 772 to 1319 of the family's 1533-position model. The record is from RNAcentral.
ACGGAAUAGAUACCCAGGUAGUCCACGCCCUAAACGAUGUCUACUAGUUGUCGGGGAUUCAUUUCCUUGGUAAACGCAGCUAAACGCGUGAAGUAGACCGCCUGGGGAGUACGGCCGCAAGGUUAAAACUCAAAGGAAUUGACGGGGACCCGCACAAGCGGUGGAUGAUGUGGAUUAAUUCGAUGCAACGCGAAAAACCUUACCUACGCUUGACAUGCCAGGAACUUUCCAGAGAUGGAUUGGUGCCCGAAAGGGAACCUGGACACAGGUGCUGCAUGGCUGUCGUCAGCUCGUGUCGUGAGAUGUUGGGUUAAGUCCCGCAACGAGCGCAACCCUUAUCCUUAGUUGCUACGCAAGGGCACUCUAGGGAGACUGCCGGUGACAAACCGGAGAAGUGGGGAUGACGUCAAGUCCUCAUGGCCCUUAUGUGUAGGGCUUCACACGUCAUACAAUGGUCGGUACAGAGGGUCGCCAACCCGCAGGGGGAGCCAAUCCCAGAAAACCGAUCGUAGUCCGGAUUGCAGUCUGCAACUCGACUGC